GUCUCUCUGAUUAAGUGGUUCUCAACAGUUCAACAGUUCUUUAACAAAAUUGUGAAAUGUUUAGGACCACUUGACCAGUA
Molecule: microRNA precursor, 80 nt
Filed under: Oreochromis niloticus (Nile tilapia)
Lineage: Eukaryota; Metazoa; Chordata; Actinopteri; Cichliformes; Cichlidae
Also listed under: 5 other names
Description: mir-203 microRNA precursor family
Rfam family: mir-203 microRNA precursor family
Source: Rfam by way of RNAcentral